Molecule: transfer RNA, 69 nt
Filed under: Dipodomys ordii (Ord's kangaroo rat)
Lineage: Eukaryota; Metazoa; Chordata; Mammalia; Rodentia; Heteromyidae
Rfam family: tRNA
About the family: Transfer RNA (tRNA) molecules are approximately 80 nucleotides in length. Their secondary structure includes four short double-helical elements and three loops (D, anti-codon, and T loops). Further hydrogen bonds mediate the characteristic L-shaped molecular structure. tRNAs have two regions of fundamental functional importance: the anti-codon, which is responsible for specific mRNA codon recognition, and the 3' end, to which the tRNAs corresponding amino acid is attached (by aminoacyl-tRNA synthetases). tRNAs cope with the degeneracy of the genetic code in two manners: having more than one tRNA (with a specific anti-codon) for a particular amino acid; and 'wobble' base-pairing, i.e. permitting non-standard base-pairing at the 3rd anti-codon position.
Source: Rfam by way of RNAcentral
GGGAAUGUGGCUCACUGGUAGAGUGUUUGCUUCAUAUGCAUGAAGCCCUGGGUUCAAUUCCCAGUACCA